CCUACGGGAGGCAGCAGUAAGGAAUAUUGGUCAAUGGGCGCAAGCCUGAACCAGCCAUGCCGCGUGCAGGAAGACGGCCCUAUGGGUUGUAAACUGCUUUUGAACAAGAGAAAACCUCGGUACGUGUACCGAGCUGAUAGUAUUGUUAGAAUAAGCAUCGGCUAACUUCGUGCCAGCAGCCGCGGUAAGACGAAGGAUGCAAGCGUUAUCCGGAUUCAUUGGGUUUAAAGGGUGCGUAGGCGGCCUGAUAAGUCAGUGGUGAAAUCUCUCAGCUUAACUGAGAAACUGCCAUUGAUACUGUCGGGCUUGAGUACAGAUGAUGUGGGCGGAAUAUGACAUGUAGUGGUGAAAUACUUAGAUAUGUCAUAGAACACCGAUUGCGAAGGCAGCUCACAAAACUGUAACUGACGCUGAGGCACGAAAGUGCGGGGAUCAAACAGGAUUAGAUACCCUGGUAGUCCGCACCGUAAACGAUGAUUACUCGUUGUUGGCAAUAUGACCGUCAGCGACCAAGCGAAAGCGAUAAGAAUCCACCUGGGGAGUACGCCGGCAACGGUGAAACUCAAAGGAAUUGACGGCGAGAGAGNGCGACGGACGACACGAGGGGAGGAGG
Molecule: ribosomal RNA, 613 nt
Filed under: uncultured bacterium
Lineage: Bacteria
Description: bacterial SSU rRNA
Rfam family: Bacterial small subunit ribosomal RNA
Source: RNAcentral